CGGACGGGUGAGUAACGCGUGGAUAACCUACCUAUAAGACUGGGAUAACUUCGGGAAACCGGAGCUAAUACCGGAUAAUAUAUUGAACCGCAUGGUUCAAUAGUGAAAGACGGUUUUGCUGUCACUUAUAGAUGGAUCCGCGCCGCAUUAGCUAGUUGGUAGGGUAACGGCUUACCAAGGCGACGAUGCGUAGCCGACCUGAGAGGGUGAUCGGCCACACUGGAACUGAGACACGGUCCAG
RNAcentral lists this ribosomal RNA (241 nucleotides) under uncultured bacterium. Its description in RNAcentral is "partial 16S ribosomal RNA". It matches the Rfam family "Bacterial small subunit ribosomal RNA", at positions 99 to 334 of the family's 1533-position model. The record is from RNAcentral.